RNAcentral lists this signal recognition particle RNA (299 nucleotides) under Chlorocebus sabaeus (green monkey). Its description in RNAcentral is "Metazoan signal recognition particle RNA". It matches the Rfam family "Metazoan signal recognition particle RNA". Rfam says of the family: The signal recognition particle (SRP) is a universally conserved ribonucleoprotein. It is involved in the co-translational targeting of proteins to membranes. The record is from Rfam by way of RNAcentral. Lineage: Eukaryota; Metazoa; Chordata; Mammalia; Primates; Cercopithecidae.
GCCAGGCGCAGUGACUCACGCCUGUAAUCCCAGCUACUCGGGAGGCUGAGGCAGGAGAAUUGCUUGAACCUGGGAGGCGGUGGUUGCAGUGAGCUGAGAUCGCACCACUGCACUCCAGCCUGAGCAACAAGAGCAAAAACUCUGUANNNNNNNNNNGUGUUUCCCUUGAGCUUUUUUUUUUUUUUUUUUUUUCCUUAGUACAGAGUUUUUGCUCUUGUUGCUCAGGCUGGAGUGCAGUGGUGCGAUCUCAGCUCACUGCAACCACCGCCUCCCAGGUUCAAGCAAUUCUCCUGCCUCAG